GGAGAAAAAGUAGUCAGUCUGUCCGCUCAGUAGGUUCAUCCGCAUGCGUGCCAGGAGAGAAUUAAAUGGCCGUUACGCAUGAAGCAGAUAUCUGAUAUUCUCGUACGUCCGUAUCAGUAUGGCAGAGACAGGUGGUCCAAUGGCAGUGAGACCGUUACAUAUCACUGACAGACGAAGGAAAAGAAUAAAAGGAGAGGACUAAGCUUACAGAGCCGUUGUAAAACCCUCUUUUCUGAAUCUCAGAUUAUCAAAAUCUAACAGCAAUAUCAAAAUAAAUCAUUUAAAAAAA
This 289-nucleotide long non-coding RNA is filed under the name Manihot esculenta (cassava). Its description in RNAcentral is "long non-coding RNA (MESC_LNC000052)". The record is from RNAcentral. Lineage: Eukaryota; Viridiplantae; Streptophyta; Magnoliopsida; Malpighiales; Euphorbiaceae.